Molecule: ribosomal RNA, 497 nt
Filed under: uncultured bacterium
Lineage: Bacteria
Description: partial 16S ribosomal RNA
Rfam family: Bacterial small subunit ribosomal RNA
Source: RNAcentral
GAUGAACGCUGGCGGCGUGCCUAAUACAUGCAAGUCGAGCGAACAGACGAGGAGCUUGCUCCUUUGACGUUAGCGGCGGACGGGUGAGUAACACGUGGAUAACCUACCUAUAAGACUGGGAUAACUUCGGGAAACCGGAGCUAAUACCGGAUAACAUGUUGAACCGCAUGGUUCAACAGUGAAAGACGGUUUUGCUGUCACUUAUAGAUGGAUCCGCGCCGCAUUAGCUAGUUGGUAAGGUAACGGCUUACCAAGGCAACGAUGCGUAGCCGACCUGAGAGGGUGAUCGGCCACACUGGAACUGAGACACGGUCCAGACUCCUACGGGAGGCAGCAGUAGGGAAUCUUCCGCAAUGGGCGAAAGCCUGACGGAGCAACGCCGCGUGAGUGAAGAAGGUCUUCGGAUCGUAAAACUCUGUUAUUAGGGAAGAACAAAUGUGUAAGUAACUAUGCACGUCUUGACGGCACCUAAUCAGAAAGCCACGGCUAACUACGUG